AACGCGAAGAACCUUACCAGGGCUUGAAACCUAGCUGCACGCUUAGGGAAACCUAAGAAGCCUUCGAGGGUGCUAGGCAGGUGAUGCAUGGUCGUCGUCAGUUCGUGGUUUGAACUGUUCCCUUAAGUGGGGAAACGAACGCAACCCCCGUUGCCUGUUUUAUAUGUCAGGCGAGACUGCUCCCUCACGGGAGAGGAAGGAGGGGAUGACGCCAGAUCAGCAUGUCCCUCUGAUGCCCUGGGCUGCACACGUGAUACAAUGGGCGCGACAAAAGGAUGCAAUAGCGUAAGCUGGAGCCAAUCCCCAAACGCGUCCUCAGUACGGAUAGAGGUCUGCAACUCGACCUCUUGAAGCUGGAAUCGCUAGUAAUCGUAGGUCAGCCAUACUACGGUGAAUACGUUCCCGGGCCUUGUACACACCGCUACAGU
Molecule: ribosomal RNA, 428 nt
Filed under: uncultured bacterium
Lineage: Bacteria
Description: bacterial SSU rRNA
Rfam family: Bacterial small subunit ribosomal RNA
Source: RNAcentral